AGCGAACGCUGGCGGCAGGCCUAACACAUGCAAGUCGAACGAACCUUUCGGGGUUAGUGGCGGACGGGUGAGUAACACGUGGGAACGUGCCUUUAGGUUCGGAAUAACUCAGGGAAACUUGUGCUAAUACCGAAUGUGCCCUUCGGGGGAAAGAUUAAUCGCCUUUAGAGCGGCCCGCGUCUGAUUAGCUAGUUGGUUGAGGUAAUGGCUCACCAAGGCGACGAUCAGUAGCUGGUCUGAGAGGAUGAUCAGCCACAUUGGGACUGAGACACGGCCCAAACUCCGACGGGAGGCAGCAGUGGGGAAUCUAGCGCAAUGGGCGAAAGCCUGACGAAGCCAUGCCGGGUGAAUGAUGAAGGUCUUAGGAUUGUAAAAUUCUUUCACCGGGGACGAUAAUGACGGUACCCGGAGAAGAAGCCCCGGCUAACUUCGUG
This 434-nucleotide ribosomal RNA is filed under the name uncultured bacterium. RNAcentral's name for it is "partial 16S ribosomal RNA". It matches the Rfam family "Bacterial small subunit ribosomal RNA", at positions 29 to 507 of the family's 1533-position model. The record is from RNAcentral.